AUUCAGUGUGAGAAGAAGGCCAUGCAACAAGAGAGGCAGAAUCAGAGAGAGAAGAUGCCAUGCUGAUGGCUUCGAAAAUGAAAAAAGGGUCCUGAGUCAAAGAAUACAAGUGGAUUCUAGGAGCUAGGAAAGUCAGGAAACAGGCUGUGCUCUGGAGCCUCCAUAAAAAACCAGUCAUGUGAACACCUUCAUGUUAGCCCAUAAGCCUCACGUCAAACUUCUGGCUUCUAGAACUGCAGGAAAAGCAAUUUGUGUUGAUUUAGCCGUUCGCCAACCCAUCACCACUUCUGUCUCCUCAACAUCAAUUCCAUCCUCUUCUCUCCAUCUCCACCUCCAUUGCCACCUACAGCAUACUGUCUCUCCAGGACAACUACACCUGCUUCCUAAUAGGCCUCUCUGCUCCCGCUUCCCUUCUGCUUCCAAUCUAUUCUCAACACAGCAACAGCAGUGACCUGGGUGUUCUUUUAAAACACGAAUGCGAUGAUGGGAUCAUGCCCCUCCAAUGCUUAAAACCUCCAGUGACUCCUCAGUGCUCUCAGGAUGAAAUCUAAAUUCCCAAAUGUGCAUGAACAGUGUUCUCGACCUGGUCUUUGCCUUUCCAGCCUCCUGCCUUGACACAGUCUCUCUCUGUCUCAGUCUCUGUCUUUCUCUCGUCCUCUCUCCCCAGCCUGUCACCAUGCAGAUUCUUUUGCCUAAUCCACUCUACCCCCCUUCUGUCUUCCUCUGUCUCCCUCCUACUCAUCCUUGCAGCCGCAGCCGAGAUGUUGCCAGCUCAGGGGGAGUCAGAUUCUAGGCCAGAUCCCUGGCUCUGUGCCCCACAGCCCACCCUUUGCAUCCCCCGCUCCGGCACCUGUCAUGCACACACCACGUUAUGGUGAUCUCUGGUCCAGUCUGCAAAUAUGUUGUUGCCUGGCACAAAGUAAACAGUCGAUGGAUGCUGCUGUGCUCGUCAUCGUCAAGUCGUCACUAUCAUCAUUUGCUCUGGCCAACUCCUGGUGUUUGCUGUCCUCUUAGAAGCUGUGGUAUGAAUUGCAUGGAUUGCAUUCAUGCAUCACCCUUCCCUGUGUCUACAUCCCAUGCCUGUCACUUUGCAGUUCUCCUCUCUAAAGAGACCCACUCUGUUUCCCACCCCUUAAGUCUGGGCUGGCUUUCACCCAUAGAAUGCGACGGAAGUAACAGAGGCCAGUCCUGAGUCUAGGCCUCAAGGGGCCUCACGCCUUUCUGCUCUGUCUUUGGCUUCCUGGUCUCCACCAUGAGAAUGUGCCUGGGCUGGCCAGCAGGAGAAUGAGAUGUGUGGAGCAGAGCUGAGCUGCUGAGACCAUCCGAGAGAGUAGCCGGCAGCCAGCCAGCCCCCAACCUGUGAUCAGCAGAGCCACUCGGCUGACCUGCAGAUGAGAACAGACACACGAGCAGGCCAGUUGAGCUGAACCUCAUAGGCUCACAAGCUGAAUAAAUGCUUAUUGUUGCGCGCUGCUGAGGUUUUGUGGAUAUCUGUUAGGCAGCCUUAUAGUAGCAAUUGAUAACUGAUACAGAAGCCACCGAAAGGAGCAAGCUAAGUCCUAGGGAAAAAUGUUGCCAGGCGUUCGGUCUUCUCAGAGUGAUAGCUGCUCAUUAGAAAGAAACCAACUUUGACUGUCACCUUCUCUGCCACUUGCAGUCUGUUAAACCCAGAGACUGGCGGAUGCCUUUCAGCACAGCCGCACUCUGCCUCCCCUCCCUUCCUCCCAGACUCCUGUCUGAGACAGAACAGUAUCUUUGAGAACCCGAGGGCAAAAUCCUCUGCAGGAGUAGGAGGCGGCUCUUAAACAGCCCCAGGCGAUGUGGAAGGUGGGCGGAGGCUGAGCUAUUGCACUGCUCCCCAAAUCCCAGUGCCUGGCCGCACCCCCAACACCUGAAGCCUGCCUACCCUGGUUUAAGGCUCCCCCAGCCUUCCUGGUGAAGACCCCUCAUGGAUUCUUGUUACUCUCAGGAUUGUACAAUAAACCCUUCUUCACGCAGAGUAGACGUGACGGGAAAGUCUAUUUCUGGCCUGACUGUAUUGCAUCUUGUUUGACACCUCCGCUCAGCUGGCAUUCAGGUGGGCACUACCUGCUCAUGGAAAGUCCAGGAGAAAAUGGAAGAGAAGAUUUUUUAGAAAUCAACACACAAUUCAACGUCUUUCUUUCUUUCCUUCUUUGAGAGAGAGAGAGAGAGAGAGAGAGAGAGAGAGAGAGCAGUAGACAAGUCAAUUUCACAGGGGCUGAGUAUUUACACCAGUCUGAACCUGGGCUGGAAAACUGUUCACCCCAAGCACCAUGGCGAGUGGGGAAGGAGGAGGCAGCUGCCGCCUUGAAAUCACCAACACAGCUUUGUUUCAUUGGCCCUGAGUCAGCCAAAACAUUAGACGUUCCAAAUAUUAGACAACCUUCCAGGCCAAUGUUAGCCCCAAAGCACAACCAAAAACCAAACAGAAGUGUCUCAAAUGUUCCUGAAUGUUUUUACAUUUCUUGGACAACUAUUCUGCUCUGAGGGAAUGUGAGAAGAGCUGUCUGCUCCAUGGAGGCCCCAGAGAAAAUCAUUUCCCAUGCCAAGGCUGGAGCUGGUGGCUGUUUCCCUCUGGGGAACGGGGUGGGCUCCAUCACCCUCAGACAAGCUAUAAAGCAGGCUUUCAAAUAGCAUAUACUCUGUGGGAGCAAUUCUACUUCUGGAGAUAGAUUUUUAAAAAAUCAAAAGCAAGAUCUUGAAGAGAUGUGUACAUACUCAUGUUCGUAGCAGCAUCAUACACAAUAGCCCAGAGGUAGAAGCAACCCAGGCGUUCAUUGACGGAUGCAUGGAUGAACAAAAUGUGGGACAUCCAUACAAUGGAACAUUCAGCCUUCAAGAGGAAAGGGAUUCUGUCAAGGAUGCUGCAGCGUGGAUAAGGCUUGAGGACAGUAUGCCAAGUAAAAUAAACCAGUCUCCAAAAAGACAAACAUCACAUGAUUCCACUUAUGUGAGGUACCUAGAGGAGUCAGAUCCACAGAGACAGAAAGUAUAAAGGUGGUUACCAGGGACUGGGGGGAGGAGGGAAUGUGGAGUUGUUUAUUGGGUACAGAGUUUGAGUUUUGCAAGAUGAAAAAGUUCUGGAGAUUGUACAACUAUGCGAAUAUACUUAACACUACUGAAAUAUACACUCAGAAAUGGUUAAGAUGCUAUAUUUUAUGUAAUAUACUUUGUACCACAAUUUAAAAUAAUUUUAAGGUCAGGCGUGGUGGCUCAUGCCUGUAAUCCCGGCACUUU
This 3258-nucleotide long non-coding RNA is filed under the name Pan troglodytes (chimpanzee). RNAcentral describes it as "long non-coding RNA NONPTRT000106". The record is from RNAcentral. Lineage: Eukaryota; Metazoa; Chordata; Mammalia; Primates; Hominidae.